UACACAUGCAGUCGACGCGAAAGCCCCGCAAGGGGUGAGUAGCGUGGCAGACGGGUGAGUAACGCGUGGGUGACCUGCCUUCGAGUGGGGGAUAACGUCUCGAAAGGGACGCUAAUACCGCAUGACAUCCCGCCGUUGAAGAGGCGGCGAUCAAAGCCGGGGCCGCAAGGCCUGGCGCUUGAAGAGGGGCCCGCGUCCGAUUAGCUAGUUGGUGGGGUAACGGCCCACCAAGGCGACGAUCGGUAGCCGGCCUAAGAGGGCGGACGGCCACACUGGGACUGAGACACGGCCCAUACUCCUACGGGAGGCAGCAGUGGGGAAUUGUUCGCAAUGGGCGCAAGCCUGACGACGCAACGCCGCGUGGAGGAUGAAGACCUUCGGGUCGUAAACUCCUGUCGAGCGGGACGAACGGCCCGCGACCUAAUACGUCGUGGGAGUGACGGUACCGCGAGAGGAAGCCCCGGCUAACUCCGUGCCAGCAGCCGCGGUAAUACGGGGGGGGCGAGCGUUGUUCGGAAUUACUGGGCGUAAAGGGCUCGUAGGUGGCCCGCUAAGUCGGUCGUGAAAUCCCUCGGCUCAACCGGGGAAUGGCGUCUGAAACUGGCGGGCUGGAAUCCGGGAGAGGGAUGCGGAAUUCCAGGUGUAGCGGUGAAAUGCGUAGAUAUCUGGAGGAAC
RNAcentral lists this ribosomal RNA (675 nucleotides) under uncultured bacterium. Its description in RNAcentral is "bacterial SSU rRNA". It matches the Rfam family "Bacterial small subunit ribosomal RNA", at positions 50 to 707 of the family's 1533-position model. The record is from RNAcentral.